This is a long non-coding RNA of Dromaius novaehollandiae (emu), 2139 nucleotides long. The record is from Ensembl. Lineage: Eukaryota; Metazoa; Chordata; Aves; Casuariiformes; Dromaiidae.
CAUUUGUGGCAACAGAACAUUMAACUUGACUGACUUGUACUUUGUCUAUUUGGACGACCAUACAGCUUUCAAUGCAUAUUUGAUAUAUUCAUAACAAUAAUUCCUGAAACUGCUAGCUAAUGGCAAUUAAGUGGCUUCAUUGGUGCCACUCUGUAAUAGUCCAUAUUUUAUACAAGUGUGCAUGCAUACACACUGACACACAUUUUUUUUAAAUAUAAAACAAGUAGAUGAAGGAUAAUUAAUUAAGGAUAAAGUACAUAGCUAUCAGAUGACUASUUAAUGAUAAAGUAGGAGCUAGAGGAUUGCUUUACUCCACACUUAUGGAAUGCAAAUGAUUUCAGGCUCUUAGUUACAUUUUGUUAAAUCAAUUUUGUAUUGUAACUGUAGGUGUAGACUUGUGACAAGUGGAAGAGUUGCAAGAAAAUUCUUAUUUUAAAUCCAUAUGAGUAACUGCAAUGAAUGUGGUUUUUAUUGUAAGGCAUUCAGUACUUUGUGGCAACUCUCACCAUGAGAGGCUUUAAUUGUGUACCUCCAACCUGCAUUAAUGAGUGUCUGUCUUGAAAAUGUUAACAGCUAGAACAAAUCCUGCCAGAGGAUAAGUUGCCAGUACAUUGGACGCAGGGACAAAAGAGAUCAGGUGGCAGCAGUCCCCAUAGCAGUCCUAAGGCUGUUCGCAGGACAAAGACAGGUGAAGCAUCUAGUGAUGGAACUGACAAAGAUGACACAGAUGAGACAUGGUUUCCUGAUCCUUGGUCUCCCAUAGGAAUCAGGAAAAGACCAGAGAAGGAGGAUGAGCAGUCACCAGCUCAGAAGACUGUGGAAACAUUUAAAGUAGAAAAAGAGAAGUUUGUACUGGGAAAAGAGAAUUGCAGAGCAAGAGUAGCACAGGAAGAGACCUCUCGAAGUCUGAUACCAAUGCCUGUAAGGAUUGCGAUAUUUGCCAUCUUUGUGUUUGUGCUCUUUGUGUAUGUAACUAUGGAGACUGACCCAAACAAUCCGCUCAUAAACUUCAUCCUGGGAAGAGGAUAAGAGCACUGUCCUGGUGACAUGCACAGUGUUUAGUGAUGACUACAGAACUGAAGAAUGCACUUUUCUUUCCCUGCUACUUAUGAACAAGCUCUUCAGGUAGUGAAUUAAAAGGCCAGUAGGAGGGGGAAAAUACUCUGCAACUUGUCUUUGCUUAGUGUUCAUUGUAUACAGUAGCUCAUAAUUCUUGGAAAUGUGACUUGUUAUACUGUUUUUUUCUUUGCUGAAACCAAGUUCACAUGUGGAUGCACACUUUGUGUCCCAGCUAGAGAGUUAAGUUCCUCGGAAGGGUUUAGGGUUCUGCAUGGUUUGGGGUUUUUCCUCAACUGCCUGUGGCUGGGAUCGUUCCAUCUUUGAGAACUCCAACUUCUGAGCUUUGGCUAUCACAUAUUUGAGAAACACCAGCUAUAAACUGGGGGAAACAAAUUGCUUGCCAACCUGGCAAGACAGGCAAUGACUCUAGCAUAAUACAAGCCRUGAGGGAUCAAGGGAGGAUUUACUGCAUCACAACUACUGGGAAAAAUGUUCUUGCCUCUCCAAGUCUAAAAAUCUUACCGAAAAGAGUACAGUGGAAGUGACAACCUCUCAGUAGUGGUCUGCCACCUUUCAUCUAAAGGUGACCUGAAUUUUCAAUGUAAUGUUCUCAUAAAUCAGACACUUAAAAGAUUUAAAGGAGUAGUAUAUUUCAUAGGUUGAGAUCAAGCUGAGGCCUUUUGGUGUCUUUUCCUUUCAUAGCAGAAAUGCAGUACUUUGAGCUUGGCAUGUAAUCUGAAGAAACAUACUGAAGCACCCUAAAAUUACUGUAGCCAUUUGACUUAAAAAAAAUUCUUGAUGUACUUUGCUGGGAAAGAAAAUUUAGUAUCCUUAGGUUUGAUGCUUUGGUUUAAGAGGAAAAUCCUUCCUGUAUAAGUCAUAACACAGUAAGCUAGUGGUAUGAUAUACUGAGUGGCUUCCUUAAUUCUUCUAAGUCAUUUUGCUUUAUCUUUAAGAUGUGUGCACUUUGUAAUCUUUACCUCAGAUCUUGGAUAUGGCUUUAACGUGAGAUAAGAGGUUACCUCUUUUCUAGGUAGGAUAAAUGGUAAUAAAUGGAGAGGGGUUUUGAUUCCUAUAGCA